GUGGGGAAUAUUGGGCAAUGGGGGAAACCCUGACCCAGCAACGCCGCGUGAGGGAAGAAGGUUUUCGGAUUGUAAACCUCUGUCCUUGGUGACGAAGGAAGUGACGGUAACCAAGGAGGAAGCCCCGGCUAACUACGUGCCAGCAGCCGCGGUAAUACGUAGGGGGCAAGCGUUGUCCGGAAUGACUGGGCGUAAAGGGCGUGUAGGCGGCCGAUUAAGUCUGGAGUGAAAGUCCUGCUUUCAAGGUGGGAAUUGCUUUGGAGACUGGUUGGCUUGAGUGCGGAAGAGGUAAGUGGAAUUCCCAGUGUAGCGGUGAAAUGCGUAGAGAUUGGGAGGAACACCAGUGGCGAAGGCGACUUACUGGGCCGUAACUGACGCUGAGGCGCGAAAGCGUGGGGAGCGAACAGGAUUAGAAACCCGUGUAGUCC
RNAcentral lists this ribosomal RNA (428 nucleotides) under uncultured bacterium. RNAcentral describes it as "partial 16S ribosomal RNA". It matches the Rfam family "Bacterial small subunit ribosomal RNA", at positions 354 to 796 of the family's 1533-position model. The record is from RNAcentral.